Non-coding RNA from Callorhinus ursinus (northern fur seal), 1740 nucleotides. Lineage: Eukaryota; Metazoa; Chordata; Mammalia; Carnivora; Otariidae. The record is from RefSeq and is a predicted model, not a curated record.
GCGCUGAGUGGGUCUUCGAAUCAUGUCUGGUGGCUCCGCGGAUUAUAAGAGAGAACAUGGAGGCCCAGAGGGAAUGGACCCUGAUGGUGUCAUCGAGAGCAACUGGAAUGAGAUUGUUGAUAACUUUGACGAUAUGAAUUUAAAGGAGUCUCUUCUUCUGCUUAUGGUUUUGAGAAGCCUGCAGCUAUUCAACAGAGAGCUAUUAUUCCUUGUAUUAAAGGGUAUGAUGUGAUUGCUCAAGCUCAGUCAGGUACUGGCAAGACAGCCACAUUUGCUAUUUCCAUCCUGCAACAGUUGGAGAUUGAGUUCAAGAAGACCCAAGCACUAGUAUUGGCCCCCACCAGAGAACUGGCUCAACAGAUCCAAAAGGUAAUUCUGGCACUUGGAGACUAUAUGGGAGCAACUUGUCAUGCCUGCAUUGGUGGAACCAAUGUUCGGAAUGAAAUGCAAAAACUGCAGGCUGAAGCACCACACAUUGUUGUUGGUACACCAGGGAGAGUAUUUGAUAUGUUAAACAGAAGAUAUCUUUCUCCAAAAUGGAUCGAAAUGUUUGUUUUGGAUGAAGCAGAUGAAAUGUUGAGCCGAGGGUUUAAGGAUCAAAUCUAUGAGAUUUUCCAAAAAUUAAAUACAAGUAUUCAGGUUGUGUUGCUUUCUGCCACAAUGCCAACUGAUGUGUUGGAAGUGACCAAAAAAUUCAUGAGAGAUCCAAUUCGAAUUCUGGUGAAAAAGGAAGAACUGACCCUUGAAGGAAUCAAACAGUUUUAUAUUAAUGUUGAAAGAGAGGAAUGGAAGUUGGAUACACUUUGUGACUUGUACGAGACACUGACGAUUACUCAGGCUGUUAUUUUUCUCAAUACAAGGCACAAGGUGGACUGGCUCACUGAGAAAAUGCAUGCCAGGGACUUCACAGUUUCUGCUCUGCAUGGUGACAUGGACCAGAAGGAAAGAGAUGUUAUCAUGAGGGAAUUCCGAUCAGGGUCAAGCCGUGUUUUGAUCACUACUGAUUUGUUGGCUCAUGGGAUUGAUGUGCAACAAGUGUCAUUGGUUAUAAACUAUGAUCUACCUACCAAUCGUGAAAACUGUAUUCACAGAAUUGGCAGAGGGGGUCGAUUUGCGAGGAAAGGUGUGGCUAUAAACUUUGUUACUGAAGAAGACAAGAGGAUUCUUCGUGACAUUGAGACUUUCUACAAUACUACAGUGGAGGAAAUGCCAAUGAAUGUGGCUGACCUUAUUUAAUUCCUGGGAUGAGAUAGUUUUGAAUGCAGUGCUCGCUGUUGCUGAAUAGGCGAUCACAAUGUGCAUUGUGCUUCUUUCUUUGCAAAUAUUUGAAUCUUGUCUCAAUGCUCAUAACGGAUCAGAAAUACAGAUUUUGAUAGCCAAGCGACUUUAGUCGUGAGCUCUUGUGAGGAAAGGCAUUGGCUUUAUCCUCUUUAGAGUUAGACUGUUGGGGUUGGGUAUAAAAGAUGGGGUCUGUAAAAUCUUUCUUUCUUAGAAAUUUAUUUCCUAGUUCUGUAGAAAUGGUUGUAUUAGAUGUUCUCUAUCAUUUAAUAAUAUACUUGUGGACUAAAAGAUAUAAGUGCUGUAUAAAAUCAGCCAAUUAUGUUAAACUAGCAUAUCUGCCUUUAUUGUGUUUGUCAUUAGCCUGAAUAGAAAGGCCUUUAAAAUUGAUUUUUUUUUUUAGAAAGCAUUUGAAUGCAUUUUGUUUGGUAUUGUAUUUAUUCAAUAACGUAUUUAAUUAGU